UACAGAGGGGGCAAGCGUUGUUCGGAAUUACUGGGCGUAAAGGGCGCGUAGGCGGCCCGCUAAGUCGAACGUGAAAUCCCCGGGCUCAACCCGGGAACUGCGUCCGAUACUGGAAGGCUUGAAUCCGGGAGAGGGAUGCGGAAUUCCAGGUGUAGCGGUGAAAUGCGUAGAUAUCUGGAGGAACACCGGUGGCGAAGGCGGCAUCCUGGACCGGCAUUGACGCUGAGGCGCGAAAGCCAGGGGAGCAAACGGG
RNAcentral lists this ribosomal RNA (253 nucleotides) under uncultured bacterium. RNAcentral describes it as "partial 16S ribosomal RNA". It matches the Rfam family "Bacterial small subunit ribosomal RNA", at positions 524 to 776 of the family's 1533-position model. The record is from RNAcentral.